UCAUACGUAGGACCCAAGCGUUAUCCGGAGUGACUGGGCGUAAAGAGUUGCGUAGGCGGUGAUUUAAGCAGAUAGUGAAAGCAUGUGGCUCAACCAUUAUGUCUAUUAUCUGAACUGAAUUACUCGAGUAUGGUAGAGGUAGCUGGAAUUUCUAGUGUAGGAGUGAAAUCCGUAGAUAUUAGAAGGAACACCGAUGGCGUAGGCAGGCUACUGGACCAUUACUGACGCUGAGGCACGAAAGCGUGGGGAGCGAACCGG
This 258-nucleotide ribosomal RNA is filed under the name uncultured bacterium. Its description in RNAcentral is "partial 16S ribosomal RNA". It matches the Rfam family "Bacterial small subunit ribosomal RNA", at positions 521 to 776 of the family's 1533-position model. The record is from RNAcentral.